CUGCUCAUGUGGUAUAGGUAUUUAUUUUAUGAAAAGACCAAAGUACAGAGGGACUUUCUUAACCAUUACAUCAGAAGAAGUUUGAUAAUAGUUUGGGAAAGAAAUAAGAAAUACUUAGAAAACAAGGUCGCAUACAGAAUGAUCAUGGUGAUGGCUACGAUUGCAAGGAGAAUGACCACAACAGCGAGUCCGAUUUCCAAGGCGCUGCAUCGCAGUUUUUUCUUUUGUUUUGGAGAGUUCAUUUCAGUUAUAUCCAUCUGACUUUCUGACUUGCCCAUAACCCAGAGUCUGGAAAGAAGGAGGAGGAGAAAGCACAGUUAUUGAAAUCAGAAAAGAAUGGAAAUUUCAAGUUCCUCCUACCUAACAAGGGCUAUUUUUUUCCCCAGUGAAGAGGAAACAUGGAUUUUUUUUUAAAAAAGCACAAAACUGUUAGUCAUGACAAUACAUUGACACACUGUGUUGUAACUUACAAUUUGCAGUGCGAUGUGGUUCUUACUCACACAGAGUGGCUAAAAAGGGAAUGAAAACAAACCAACAGUUGGUUUUAUUGCUAACAUAUCUAAUUUAAUUGCAUGCCCUGGUACAAGAGUUCACAAACAAGUGAAAUGCAGCUGACAGCGUUUGAAUAAAAAUUAACUUAACCUUUCAA
Long non-coding RNA from Hemicordylus capensis (graceful crag lizard), 649 nucleotides. RefSeq lists it as uncharacterized. The transcript is spliced from 2 exons. The record is from RefSeq and is a predicted model, not a curated record. NCBI's taxonomy places the organism in Eukaryota, Metazoa, Chordata, Lepidosauria, Squamata, Cordylidae.